GGGGCACCACUGGAGGAGUAGCGCAGUGCUUCACAAAGAAGCGCUUCCGAGUAGAAAGUGAACUAGGUCGAGGCUUGCUGGAUAACGUUUGACGCUUUUGCCCCCAAGCCGUGGAUCGAGCCGUGGAUGGAGAAAUUCCUGAGAGUCCUUGGGCCGCUGAGAAAUUGCGCCUCAUCCUAAAGCAAACAUUUACAUUUAUAUUUUGCAACAUAUGAAGCUAGACGCAGCCCAAGACACGUGCUAGGCCGUUCCCGACGACAGCCGUAGCGAAGGAAAUAACCGGUCGCGAGGAGGAUUUGAAUGCAUGCGGUAAGUCCGAUUAUUUUACUAUUUCUUUCUUUGCGUAAAAGAGUUAGUACCGCUUGACGUUAAAGUGCUGUUGUCAUCCGUGCGCUUGUGUGCAUGAGUUUGGGCUCUUUCGGAGCGAUGACGUCGGUGGGGUGCAGUCGGUGGGGUGCAGUCGGAGGGGUGCAGUCGGAGAGGUGCAGAGCGGUGCCCCAUCCUCACAUCCUGGGUGACCCCCAUUUUCUAUCCUCGAGUCAACACCUCGCAUCCUGGUGACUGCAUCCCCCUCCUCCGCCAUCCUCAUCCUUGGUGGGUUGGCAUCGACCCUCCACAUUUGCCGCCAUCCUGGGCCCCCUGCCAUCUUUUGUCCUGGGUGGGGCCCCACAUUUUUAUCCUAUUCGUUCCCAUCCGUAUCCUAUGCCCGACUCUCUGCCGCAUCCUGACCGCGCUGUCAACCUCCUGUCCAGUAGAGGUCCAGUCGGUCGUCUGUCGUCCUUUACGGAACAUGGUUCUGGAGCGCCUGCAAUCAACUUAGGCAAUUGGAAGUCAAUAUAUGAGCGCAAAUAGCUCAUUAUCUCUCUCUCUUGUAUAUGAAAGUGUGCCUGUAACAUUUUGGAGAUUCUCAGAGCCGGACUGCUUCGCUGUGUCGCCGUCAAAG
RNAcentral lists this long non-coding RNA (943 nucleotides) under Volvox carteri. Its description in RNAcentral is "long non-coding RNA (VCAR_LNC000058)". Lineage: Eukaryota; Viridiplantae; Chlorophyta; Chlorophyceae; Chlamydomonadales; Volvocaceae. The record is from RNAcentral.